This is an RNA transcript of Acanthochromis polyacanthus (spiny chromis), 3585 nucleotides long. It is a transcript of the gene named caldesmon 1a, with no coding region annotated. The transcript has 17 exons. Lineage: Eukaryota; Metazoa; Chordata; Actinopteri; Pomacentridae. The record is from RefSeq and is a predicted model, not a curated record.
AUUAUGUCUAAAAGGGAGGAGCUUGAACGGGGUAUUCAGUUUGGUUUAUCAUUGAGGGUAGUGGAGGACCGACUGCAGACUGGCUCCCUCUCCUCUCCUCUGCUCUCUAUUCGACUCUAGAGCUGUACUUUGAGAUCCACAGGGCACAACCAUGGAGGAAAUGGACUUUGAGCGACGCCGGGAGCUGAGGAGGCAGAAGCGGGAGGAGAUGCGCCUGGAGGCCGAACGGAUGGCGAGGAAUGAUGAUGAUGAAGAGGAGGCGGCCCGUGAGAGGAGGCGCCGGGCUCGGCAGGAGAGGCUGAGGAGCAGGGAGAGCGAGGAGCCCAGCAGCCAGCCAGAAAGCCUGGUCAUGACCAACAGCCACAGUGUGACAGAGACAGUGACUGUGAGCAGCUCUUAUGGAGGCGGCGGAGACGACGAAGAACAGGCGCUGCUGGACCGGAUGGCCAAACGGGAGGAGAGACGGCAGAGACGCAUGAAGGAGGCACUGGAGAGACAGGGGCAGCUGGACAACACCGAGGCCACCGACAGCGUCGCCACGGAGAGAAACAACGCAGAAGAGGAGAGACCCUCCUCCUGGCGCAGGGGUCGUUACCGUGACAAUGACGACGAGGAGGAGAAGCCAGCGACCUACAGUUCAAGGAGGGAUCAGAAGGAGCGAGAGGAGCCAAGAGAGGAAGAGGAGGCUGCUCCCGAAGCCGUAGAAGUGGAGGAGCAGAAAGUUGAAGUGGACGAGGACAAGCCGAGAAGGUCUUACUUGAGAGAACAGGCGUCAACCGAAGAGCCUAAAAUGCAAAACAAGGCUCUCGCUGAAGAAGAGACACUUUCUGUAGUCAGUGAGAGUUCAAAUCAGGCCAAGUCAGCAAAUUCAGAGGCUGAGGAGGAUGCGGUAGCGUCAGGGGAGGCGGAAGAGGUGACUGAGAGGGGCGGAACCAGGGAGGACGAGAGGAAGCACAACGGAGGGUUGCACGAGGAGGCGACUCCCAAACAGCACCGGAAACCUGAGAGGACCCUCAGUCGUGGUAGCGUUCGUUCCCCUGAGGUGUCCGCGGGCGACGAGCAGGACGACGCCGCCCGCCUAGAGGCAGAACGCAAGCUGGAGGAGCUGAAGCGUCGCCGCGACGACGCUGAGAGCGAGGAGUUCGAGAAGAUGAGGCAGAAGCAGCAGGAGGCCGAGGUCGAGCUGGAGGAGCUGAAGAGGAAGAGGGAGGAGAGGAGGAAGGUGCUGGAGGAGGAGGAGCGGCAGAAGAAGCAGGAGGAGGCGGAAAAGAAAGCCAGAGAGGAGGAGGAGAAAAGGAAGAUGAAAGAGGAGAUCGAGCGGAGGAGAGCAGAGGCAGCUGAGAAGAGACAGAAGGUGGAAGACACCAUGGACGGGGAGGACAAACCGUUCAAGUGUGUCAGCCCUCGAGGCUCCUCUCUGAAGAUUGGAGAGAGAGCAGAGUUCCUGAACAAGUCGGCGCAGAAAAGCACAGUGAAGACAUCUCAUUCUCCUGUGGUGUCCAAGAUAGACAACAGGCUGGAGCAGUACACCUCAGCUGCUCAGCAGAGAGAGAACAAGGAGUCUCGAUCCCCUCGCUCUGGAGCCGUGGAUCUGCCCAUGGUCACCGACAGCAUACGAAACAUCAAGAGCAUGUGGGAGAAGGGCGACGUGUUCAGCUCGCCUGGAAGCGGCGGAAGCCCAUUCAAGGAAGCAGCUGUGAUGAAGACGGGCGUGGCGGGCCGUAUCAACGACUGGCUGAAUAAAACCCCAGAGAGCGGCAAGACUGCAGGAGGAAGGCCAGCGGACCUGAAGCCGGUUGACGUCACCAACAAGAGGAGUCUAUGGGAAAACAAAGGCGCCUCUCCAACCAAGAACUCUCAUAGCUAGUUGACCUCACCGUUAAAUCUGGAAAAAAGCCUGGAGAGGUGGCAGGCAGAGGGGAGACCAAAUCAGUCGCCAAUGGUAUGGGACACUAAUGUCUCGAAGGAGCCACUAAAGCUGGGGACCACGACAAUCCAAGACUCUUCCUUUUGACUUUUUCUUAAGAACCAAAUAGUGACCACACAUCCCGAGAGGGGACCCUUAAGACCACGGAGGGACAGGAGAGACGCUGUCCGAGCACUGUACCGAAACAACAUCAGCGUAAUUUUGUAAGGUUGCCACGUAUAGUGCCUUUGCACAACGAUUUUUUGCUUUCUAAAAAAACAAAGAAGAAAAGAACAACAACAAUGCUGUGAAAUUUGGACAUUUCUUAUUUCUUUACCUAAAAAAUCCUGCCAGGAAAACAAAAUUAAUUAAAUUUAGAUGUAUCUUUUGUACUCAAGACAGUGUAGUUUCCACAUUCCAAAGAGAUGGGUGAAAUCUCCCUCCUCCGAUUAUUUUCCAUCUCUUUUUUAUUUAUAUUUAAAGCAAAAGCUUCACACAUUUGCUAUUUUAUUCAGCGUUCACCUGUUCAGGAUAGGAAUAUAAGCACUUCUAGAAUUUAGCGGAUUUCACUUUUAUUAUGUCUUACCAAUAGUGCAGCAACGGUCUGAGUAAUAUAUGUUAGCACAUGUGAUGUUUUGAAUAUCAUACUGUAUCAUUUAUAACAUCAGUAUAAUCAUAACAAAAAAGGUAUUUUUGCUUCUUUUUCAUAUCCAAAAACUAUUCACCAACAGGCAGUUAGUUAAUUCGGAGUGUUGAAUAUCCAGAAGGCCAUUUUAUUAUCUUUUAAUUUAUGUUUAAUGUGGUUUUUUUUCUGUUUCUAGCCGAUUAUUUUUCUAGCUUUUGUACCUGUUCGAUCACUUUAAAAUCUUCCGACAUUCCUCUUAAAUGCGGCGGCACAUGGUGCCUUUGCUGCUGAAAAGCUGUAGGUUUUAUAAUGUAGGAUCUUUUUUGUUUUGUUUUAAUCUACCUUUAACUUCCUUAUUGCCUCUAUGCACACUCUUACGCUCAGCAAUGCUUUUCUAACUGAGGGCAAAGUAAAAUCAGGGUGCCUACGCAUAUAGCAAGAUAGUAGUACAAGGAUAUUUACCACUAUGUAAAACUUCUGGCCUUAUGAUUGCAAUGACAGCAUUUAUGACAGCUGAGGUACAGUACCUAAACGCCUCAUAGCGACUCAGUAUGAUUUUUUUUUUUUGAGACUUGUGAUUUUCAUGUUUAUUUUUCACUGACUUGUUCUUAAGUAGCACAUUCCCUUCGAUAAGAUGAUGAACCGUUUGUCAGGGCAUUAAAUUGAUCGAUGCAACUGCUCAAGAGUCUGACAAUCACAUUCCAUGGCUCCUGAAAAAUGAGCAGGGGAGCUGGACCAAAACAUUUGUACGCGUGAUUUAAUGUGACAUUUAUAUAUGUUUUUUUUCGCUAAUACAGUGGUUUUAUAAGGCUGUAUUGUUUUUUUUUUGUUUUUUUUUUACAUCUUUGUGUCCAUUUUAUGUUUUUUAAAAUUCUUUUAUUUCCAUGUUUAACCAGACACUUGUCAUUUGCGUAGCGCUAAGCCUAUGCAAAACACACUUUCUGUAGUCUCUCUCUCUCUCCCAAUGUCAUACAAGUCGGCAGUUUCCAAGUGGAUGAAUGUUUUGAACAUUGUAUCUUUCAUUCAACAACAGCAAUAAAGACAUUGAGGUAUU